Long non-coding RNA from Helianthus annuus (common sunflower), 570 nucleotides. RefSeq lists it as uncharacterized. The record is from RefSeq and is a predicted model, not a curated record. The transcript is spliced from 2 exons. NCBI's taxonomy places the organism in Eukaryota, Viridiplantae, Streptophyta, Magnoliopsida, Asterales, Asteraceae.
UUCACUUCACGUCCCGCCGCAAGGCGUACGCAAAAUCAUCUAGUAUUAUUUAUACGAAACAUUGAGGGGUUGACUGUAAUUCCGUAAUUAACAUUAACAUUGCAUCAAUUGGUAAUCGAUACGAAAACUUGAACAACAUUCUCUAGGUUUUACCAUCCAGGUUUCAAAGACAAUGGCCGGAGGAGGUGUAUUCAAGCUCGUCAAGCCAAACAAACGUCCUCAAGCCACCGAUAUCCAAGCCGCCGCCGCUUGGGGCGUCGCCGCCUUCACCACCGCCGUUUGGAUCGUUCAGCCAUUUGAUUGGGUGAAGAAGACCUUCUUUGAAAAAGCAGAGCCAGAAAAUUAAAUAGAGUUGUGAGAAAUGGCUCGGAUAUGGUUUUGCCUGUGUUUUCUUUCCUCUGAUGAGAGAACUUUGGGCAGGUUUUGGUUUUAAUAAUAAUAAUAAUGUAAAACUCCAAUAUAUGUUGAUUAUGGUUUAUUGAAGUUGAGAAAAGAUAUACCAUGGUUUUUGUUGUCAUCAUGCUUUCUUUCUUGCAAUUAAGAGUUCGAGUACAAAUUUUAGAACUGCCA